CCUACGGGAGGCAGCAGUAGGGAAUCUUUCACAAUGGGCGAAAGCCUGAUGGAGCAACGCCGCGUGCAGGAUGGAGGCCUUCGGGUUGUAAACUGCUUUUAUAAGCGAGAAAUAUGAUGGUAACUUAUGAAUAAGGAUCGGCUAACUACGUGCCAGCAGCCGCGGUCAUACUUAGGAUCCGAGCAUUAUCCGGGGUGACUGGGUGUAAAGAGUUGCGUAGGUGGUAUUAUAAGUAGCUAGUGAAAGCUGGUGGCUCAACCAUUCAGACGAUUAGCUAAACUGUUAAGCUCGAGACCGUUAGGGGAAACGGGAAUUUCGAGGGUAGGAGGGAAAGCGGUAGAGAUUAGAAGGAACACC
RNAcentral lists this ribosomal RNA (357 nucleotides) under uncultured bacterium. Its description in RNAcentral is "partial 16S ribosomal RNA". It matches the Rfam family "Bacterial small subunit ribosomal RNA", at positions 338 to 710 of the family's 1533-position model. The record is from RNAcentral.